CUCCUCGGUAGGCACAAGCGGAAUAUUGCCAAUGGCCAAAACGUAACCCAGCAACGCCGCGUAUUGGAAGAAGGUUUUCGGAUUGUAAACCUCUGUCCUUGGUGACGAAGGAAGUAACGGUAGCCAAGGAGGAAAAACCCCGGCUAACUACGUGCCAGCAGCCGCGGUAAUACGUAGGGGGCGAGCGUUGUCCGGAAUGACUGGGCGUAAAGGGCGUAUAGGCGGCGGAUUAAGUCUGGAGUGAAAGUCCUGCUUUCAAGGUGGGAAUUGCUUUGGAUACUGGUCGGCUUGAGUGCGGAAGAGGUAAGUGGAAUUCCCAGUGUAGCGGCUGAAAUGCGUAGAGAUUGGGAGGAACACCAGUGGCGAAGGCGACUUACUGGGCCGUAACUGACGCUGAGGCGCGAAAGCGUGGGGAGCGAACAGGAUUAGAUACCCUGGUAGUCCACGCGGUAAACGAUGAAUGCUAGGUGUAGGGGGUAUCGACCCCUCCUGUGCCGGAGUAAACACAAUAAGCAUUCCGCCUGGGGAGUACGGCCGCAAGGUUGAAACUCAAAGGAAUUGACGGGGGCCCGCACAAGCAGCGGAGCAUGUUGUUUAAUUCGAUGCAACGCGAAGAACCUUACCAGGUCUUGACAUUGAAGUAAGCCCGUAGAGAUACGGGGAGCUUCGGGCAACGGAAAACAGGUGGUGCAUGGUUGUCGUCAGCUCGUGUCGUGAGAUGUUGGGUUAAGUCCCGCAACGAGCGCAACCCUUAUGAUCAGUUACUAACGGGUAAAGCCGAGGACUCUGAUGAGACUGCCGGGGACAACUCGGAGGAAGGUGGGGACGACGUCAAAUCAUCAUGCCCCUUAUGACCUGGGCUACAAACGUGCUACAAUGGCGGCUACAAAGAGGAGCGAGCAUGCAAAUGUAAGCGGAUCUCAAAAAAGCCGUCCCAGUUCGGAUUGUGGGCUGCAACCCGCCCACAUGAAGUUGGAGUUGCUAGUAAUCGCGAAUCAGCAUGUCGCGGUGAAUACGUUCCCGGGCCUUGUACACACCGC
This 1040-nucleotide ribosomal RNA is filed under the name uncultured bacterium. Its description in RNAcentral is "bacterial SSU rRNA". It matches the Rfam family "Bacterial small subunit ribosomal RNA", at positions 335 to 1393 of the family's 1533-position model. The record is from RNAcentral.